CUAGUCACUACUGGAGCAGCAUUAGCAAAUUCGGCAAUUGGGCCAUGCUGAGCCAGCAUGAGCAUGAGCAUAAUGGCCUUAGGGUGUACCUCAUCGUACCGUACUGAUUCUCUCGUACGAUGCUCGGACUGCACUGUAACCUAGGGAUAAGCAUCGGACUACUCGUGCGAGCACCGGCGGUUACUACGUAGCAUCUAGCUAUAGCUGCAUUCAUGGCGUUUACAGGGUGCGUAGACUGAUGAGUAAGUCACUAAAGAAAGCCUCCACCCCUAACCGUAGAAUUGCCAUUGAUACUGUUUUUCUUUCGUAUAGUUGAAGUGGGCGCAAUGUGUAAUGUAGCGGUGAAAUGCUUAGAUAUGACCCAGAUCUCCGAUCGCGAAUGCAGCUCACUAAAUGCUGUUACCUGACGCUUGAAGCAUCGAAAGCGUGGGGAGCAACAGGAUAGAUACCUGUAGUCACGCUGUAAACGAUGAUCACUCGUUGUUGCCGAUACACCGUCAGCGACUGAGCGAAAGCAAUAAGUGAUCCACCUGGGGAGUACGGUCGCAAGACUGAAACUCAAAGGAAUUGACGGGGGCCCGCACAAGCGGAGGAACAUGUGGUUUAAUUCGAUGAUUCGCGAGGAACCUUACCUGGGCUUGAAAGGGGAACGACCUCCCGCGAAACCGGGAUUCUCUUCGGAGCGGUCUCCUAGGUGCUGCAUGGUUGUCGUCAGCUCGUGCCGUGAGGUGUCGGGUUAAGUCCCAUAACGAGCGCAACCCCUAUUGUUAGUUGCCAGCGGGUAAUGCCGGGAACUCUAACGAAACUGCCGGUGUAAACCGAGAGGAAGGUGGGGAUGGCGUCAAAUCAGCACGGCCCUUAUGUCCAGGGCUACCCACGUGUUACAAUGGCAGGUACAAAGGGCAGCUAUGCCGCGAGGCAAUGCUAAUCUCGAAAACCUGUCUCAGUUCGGAUCGAAGUCUGCAACUCGACUUCGUGAAGCUGGAUUCGCUAGUAAUCGCGCAUCAGCAACGGCGCGGUGAAUACGUUCCCGGGCCUUGUACACACCGCCCGUCAAGCCAUGGAAGCUGGGGGUACCUGAAGUCUGCAACCGCAAGGACGCGGCCCUAAGGGGAAAAACCCCU
Molecule: ribosomal RNA, 1124 nt
Filed under: uncultured soil bacterium
Lineage: Bacteria
Description: bacterial SSU rRNA
Rfam family: Bacterial small subunit ribosomal RNA
Source: RNAcentral